GACAUACUCACUUAAUUAGAAAUUAAAAUAAUCUUUUCAUGCACAUACACAGUGUGAUUCGCAGAACCCUAUUUUAUCUGUCAUGUUAUCUCCAGAUGAAGAACUGCUGUCAUUAGUUAGAUGGCUGCGCUUCAGAAGAAAUGAGUGGGCAAUCGCUAAUUGCAGCUCAAGGCUGUAUUUUCUCACUGCCACCCUGUUAUGUAGGAGAUGGAAGAGAGAAACUGUGUCACCAUCAAAACUGUCAUCACUGCUCCAGUGCUGACGAUUUCUGUGCCCAGGGAAAAGCCACGGAGGGGAGAGAUGGGAGAAGAGCAGCAGGAAAACAGCAUAAAAAGGGAAAUGCAGGGGUGUGAGUCUGUCCAUCUGAAGCUCUCCAGCGUAUAUCAAGGGUCACUCCACAGAAAUGAGCACACUGCUGAUGUAAAAGAGGCAUGAGAGAUAUACCAAGCCCAUUGUUCUGGCCACCUUAGAAGAAGAAUCUGUUAUGAAUAGUCAUCAGGUGCAGCAUCUUGGACACCUGAGGGUACCUUGAACAGUGCUAUACGUCCAUGCUUCUACAAGUGGAAUGUGGCCAGCAAGUCUAUGCAUUAGGGUCUGGACACACCACAAAGAGGGAACAAAGUGGAUAAUGGCCUGUUUGCUGACCACAUGUGUAAUCUUAGGCUUUCCCCUGCCUAGUAUUGCUGGGUGGUCAAAGUGGUUUCUUUUUCCGUUUGCUGUAUUGGGCUAGAAAACGUCUCUACAGGCUGCCUGCCAACAGAGCUUGAUAAACCAUGGACAAGCUAUUGCUUCUAACCACAUAUCCCUACAGCAGAUCAAACCAAUUCUCUCAAACCUCUCUGCCAUGUUCCUCCAUCCGCCUCAUUCACUUAAUAGCACUUUGAAAACAUUACAAGUUUCACAUCUUCCUGCUCAUAAAGCACAAUAAAAAGAAUCGUACCUAUCGCCCAACAACCACGGCUGAGUCCUGGUUAUUCCCG
This is a long non-coding RNA of Pogoniulus pusillus (Red-fronted tinkerbird), 980 nucleotides long. RefSeq lists it as uncharacterized. The record is from RefSeq and is a predicted model, not a curated record. NCBI's taxonomy places the organism in Eukaryota, Metazoa, Chordata, Aves, Piciformes, Lybiidae. The transcript has 3 exons.